This is a long non-coding RNA of Daphnia magna, 375 nucleotides long. RefSeq lists it as uncharacterized. Lineage: Eukaryota; Metazoa; Arthropoda; Branchiopoda; Diplostraca; Daphniidae. The transcript has 2 exons. The record is from RefSeq and is a predicted model, not a curated record.
UUAAGGAUAUAACACUGGAAAACCAGACAGCAAUACAGGGAGAUGUCAACAAUCUUAAAUGGCCUCAUAAGUUUAGGUUUCUAGCAUAUAACAACCUGCUGCCCAAGAAAGACAUGUAACAUAUGAACUGCUGAAGGUUUCCUCUUUAUCAAUGCUUGUUUCAAUUAAGUCUGAAGUAAGUUUAUUGUCAUACAGUCAUCAUGAAAUGAUAGUUCUCUGUUGAAGAUGGGUUCUUAGGUUAGGUGAAAGUUUAAACAAAACUAUGUAGGCCAUGCUUUUAUAUUGAAGCAAGCUUACUUGGAUGGCCAAUGGUUUCGUGUAUUUUAUGAGCGAUAUAAAAGCAUUCGGUUUGAAGAACUUCUACCGACAAGCAUA